RNAcentral lists this long non-coding RNA (518 nucleotides) under Mytilus galloprovincialis (Mediterranean mussel). The record is from RNAcentral. Lineage: Eukaryota; Metazoa; Mollusca; Bivalvia; Mytilida; Mytilidae.
AAAAAAACCUAGAGGCUCUUAAGAGCCUGUGUCGCUCACCUUAGUCUAUGUGCAUAUUAAACAAAGGACACAGAUGGAUUCAUGACAAAAUUGUGUUUUGGUGAUGGUGAUGUGUUUGUAGAUCUUACUUUACUGAACAUUCUUGCUUCUUACAAUUAUCUCAUUAUCUCAAUUUAUAAUGAACUUGGCCCAUUAGUUACAGAGGAAAAUAUUUUGUUAAAAUUUACAAAAAUUUACAAAAUUUACAAAAUUAUUAAAAAUUGACUAUAAAGGGCAAUAACUCCUUAAGGGGUCAACUGACCUUUUUGGUCAUGUUGACUUAUUUGUGGAUAUUACUUUGCUGAACAUUAUUGCUGUUUACAGUUUUUCUCUAUCUAUAAUAAUAUUCAAGAUAAUAACCAAAAACAGCAAAAUUUCCUUAAUAAUUUCCAAUUCAGGGGCAGCAACCCAACAACCAGUUGUUGGAUUCAUCUGAAAAUUUCAGGGCAGAUAGAUCUUGACUUGCAAAACAAUUUAAC